This 3551-nucleotide long non-coding RNA is filed under the name Homo sapiens (human). RNAcentral's name for it is "HSALNT0035742". The record is from RNAcentral. Lineage: Eukaryota; Metazoa; Chordata; Mammalia; Primates; Hominidae.
GGGCACCUGUGGAGAGGACAGAGGAGUGAAUGAGACCCCACUUAACUGGACCCAGUCCCGUCAUCAGCCAUGGAACUUAGAAUUCUCUUACCUGUAGCUGCUGCCACCAAGAGGAGGAUCCUCCAGGUCCAGUCCAUGGUGAUGUGCUGUGCUCUGGGGACUUCUACAGGGGAGAGAUGUGGUUGUUGUGUGAUGCUCUCUGGGCAAGGACAGAUCUGUAUUUACCUCGGUAAACACCAGUGCAUUUGCAUAUUCAUGAGGCAGCUACCUAUUUCGUAGCUCAAGCCCCCCAACCUGAGGAAGAAGUUAGGUGACACACGGACCACGCCACAGUGGGAUGCUGAGCUCCAUGCCCUGUACUUUGUUUAAUGAUAUUUGUCCUCUGACAUGCUCAGAAGUCCAUGAAGACAGAACUCGUCUCACAGAAAACCACAAUCUCCCAGGACAUUGUCCUCAAUGUGAUUCCUUGUUCCUAUGGAACUCUGACAACCUGAACAUUUCCUGGGCCUUCACCUCUGCACCUUAACUUCUAGGAUGAGUAGCUAAAGCAAGCUCAGUACUACUGGUGAUUUGGAAAGUGCCUUCAUAUUGUUUUUGCCAGUUCUCACCUGAGAACCCUGCAGAUGCCCCAUGAGAGGCUGUGCCCUUUACAAGGAGUCUCCAGUGAUACAGCUGAUUUUCCUCCAUACUCUAAUCCCCUUCAUGGCUGCAGCAUCAACAGAUUGCUCUCUUGAAUCUGACCCCAGUUGUUUUAUUAAUUAUACCCCUUUUUGUGACACAGGAAGGCUAAGAUGAAGCUGUCUUGGAUGGAAAAGAAUUCGUUCUCCUCACAUGGAAUAAAGAUCUUGAAAAGUAUUUUUUCUAUGUAGGGUCUGUCCGGACAAAGUUCUGGGCAUAUUUAUCAGAGAACAGUUCUCCUGAUAUCAGAGCCAUGAGGGAAUCUGUUUGGAUUCUCAUCUUGAGAACCCAGAAGUUUCUGGAGGGAAAUUUCAUAAAAGUGUGGGGUGCGUGGCCCCCAGGAGUUCUUACCCUACCCUAUCCACACUUGUCUGCUAGGCAUUUAUGGAAUUAUCAUGUAACUGUUUCCACCAGCUUGUGCUUUCAAUGGAAGAAUCACCCAAUUUAUAAAUUUAGAAAAGAAACUUUAUUUCUGAUAAAUGGGUGAAGCUGCAGGAUGGCCAUCUUAACAGGCCGGAAAGCAAAGCCUCCCACAGAGACAGUGAGCAGGCACUUCAAGAGAGGGAAAGGUGAGAAAUGAGUUCAUGCAAAUGGAUUGGCCAAGUGCACAUACUCAGCGGGCUAUAGAAGGAGCUAUGAAUAUUCACAUGGUGGGCAGGCUGUCAUGCAUAAUAAGCAAACACAGAUGUUACAUGCAUUUCAUGUUUGCUUUGGGGCGAGGACUUAAGAACUAAACAAAUUACAGUUGGGCCGUGUACAUCAAAAGGGCUUUGUGCAGAGGCAGAAGGACACACAGUGCACAGCCUCCAUAAUUUGGCAAGGACAAGUCCAUGGUGAGUGGUCUCUUCUCAGGAGAAAGUUACUGAAAUCAGUCCUUCUCCAUUCAAAGCUCUUUUUAUGGCUGUGGAACGGGCACAGUUACCCAGUGUCUUGAGUUCCAUGAGCUGCAAAUAUUUUAAUAUUCUUAUCGUAGGACCAGUGCUUUUUAGCUGCUAGAGAAAAUGAAAAGCCCUGUGGCAGUUACAACAUAGUCUAUUUUUUAAGUGUAGGAGUGAGUGACUUAAUUUUUGCUUGAUGUGGACUUGGGUCUUGUUUAUAAUUUGGUAUCUUAUUGCCACAACAAGAUUGUUCCAUCAGUCUGAUGAUCUCUAUUUUAAUGUCUUUCUAGUUUUUGGGUCUUGGUUUUCCCUGCAAUUUGAUUUCUUAAAUAGAUCCAAGAAGUUAUUGAUAAUCAAUUUUCCAGGCUUUCAUUGUUGUAGGAAUGUAGGGGAUGACUGACAUGCUCUUUACAUAUUAAAGUGGAAAACAGAAGUAGCUUCAGAGAUCACCAUUGACCUGACAAGCAGCAGGAAUCUCAUCUCGUUAAGUGUAAGUGGCACCACAGAUGUAGCUGAACAUGCAGUGACACAGAAGACCCACACCACAGAACACAUGAAAAAUUUUAUGAUUCUGAGGUUUUCUCCAGGAAGCUGGAACUCAGGUGGUACUACAGAGAUGGACUCAGUUAUCUCUCAGGUGAUACUAUGUUUUGGAAGCUUAUUUCCACUCCUGCACUGGACUCAUUAGCUGCACCUCGACCAGCACACCUAAAACAGAAACUCUCAAUAAUUAAGCACAAAACUCACCAAUAAUAAAGCUGUCCCCAGAGAAGGUGCAGAGCAGGGAACUCUGCUUUUGGGAACAUGCUGGUGUGCAGGGAGUGUCAGGAGCGUGACCCAUUUCCUUCUGCUCCCCCUGCUGGCUUCACAGACAACUGCAUCCAGGAGCUUUAUGUUGCAAAGUAUAUAAAAUAUGUUAUAAUUGUAGAGAAAUGUAAUACACAGAUUAAGGAAUGAGGAACGUACAUGAAAUUAAACAUAAUAUUAUCACGGAUAAGACAACAAACAAAUAUUAAAAACCUGUGUGUGUACGUGUUUGAGAUAGUAUUCUUGUAAAUUAAAUCAUAAUUUGUUUAUAAAGUCCUUCAACUAUGUACAAAAUCUUUGCCUUUGAUUGCCACAAAGAUGAAGAAGGAUGUGGCACCAGGACUCCAGGGCCAUGCUAGUGAUUUCCCCUCCUAUCUCCUGAGGACACGGUGCUUCCAACUCUGAGGAUCAGGAUGCUGAAAUUGGCUGUGUGAGAAGAGAAAAUGGGAUUUUCUGUGGGAACAGACUAGUGUGAAUGUAACUUUCAAGCAAGAAACCAGCUUCUGCUCUCUGACAUAUAUCACCUGGUUUGUGCCAAGAGCAUUAACCCUGGGAGCUCCUCCCAAAAAAAUGGUUGUGCACAGGGGAGAUGUUAAGCUAUGGCUGCUCCUGGGACUCAUCGGAGAUUCCUGAUGGGCAUCUGUAAUCAGGAAGUCAUCAACAGCCUUGCCGGACUUAACUUGCUCCACAGGUUAACUAGGAAGCACCACCAAACUCCCACAUUUCCCCAUCACUAGUUGUAAGACUGGCAUCCUGGCCUGACAGUGUCUACAGCCUCACCCAGCCUCCUGUGUGUUUUUCUGCCUGCCUUACUUACAUCUCACUUUGGGACAAAUAAGAAAUUUUUUAAAUAAACUUUUCUAAUCUAGAGACCUCAGUGGUAGGCACAGAAACACAAAUAUAGAGAGGCUCCCAGGGAAACUGUUCGAUGGAGAGGAAGCCACAGACCCUGAAGGAAAGCGGCCCUUGACCUUCAACUGCACCUGCCCUGGGGAUGCCCCUAACUUCUGUGGGAGUGAGUGCCCUCUGCAGCCCAGGCUCCUUCCUUCUCUCUGCAGGAUAUUUUGCGUUUUGGCUGACACUGGUGUUCCCUCACUUGGUACCUUAUGUACAAUAAUACGAGGCCAUGUUCUCAGCUCUGACUGUUCAUUCACAGGUACAGUGAGUUCUUGGCAUUGUCUUUGGAAA